GGAAGCGUGCCUGAGUGGUUGAAAGGAGCAGUUUCGAAAACUGCCAUACCCGUAAGGGUAUCGGAGGUUCGAAUCCUCCCGCUUCCG
This 87-nucleotide transfer RNA is filed under the name Candidatus Wildermuthbacteria bacterium. RNAcentral describes it as "tRNA-Ser". It matches the Rfam family "tRNA". From Rfam's summary of the family: Transfer RNA (tRNA) molecules are approximately 80 nucleotides in length. Their secondary structure includes four short double-helical elements and three loops (D, anti-codon, and T loops). Lineage: Bacteria; Candidatus Wildermuthiibacteriota. The record is from RNAcentral.